CUGGCGGCGUGCCUAACACAUGCAAGUCGAGCGAGGAGAUCCUUCGGGAUGAUCCUAGCGGCGGACGGGUGAGUAACACGUGGGCAACCUGCCUCAUAGAGAGGAAUAGCCUUCCGAAAGGGAGAUUAAUACCUCAUAACAUUGCAGUUUCGCAUGGAACAGCAAUUAAAGGAGUAAUCCGCUAUGAGAUGGGCCCGCGGCGCAUUAGCUAGUUGGUGAGGUAACGGCUCACCAAGGCGACGAUGCGUAGCCGACCUGAGAGGGUGAUCGGCCACAUUGGGACUGAGACACGGCCCAGACUCCUACGGGAGGCAGCAGUGGGGAAUAUUGCACAAUGGGGGAAACCCUGAUGCCAGCAACGCCGCGUGAGUGAUGACGGCCUUCGGGUUGUAAAGCUCUGUCUUCAGGGACGAUAAUGACGGUACCUGAGGAGGAAGCCACGGCUAACUACGUGCCAGCCGCGGC
RNAcentral lists this ribosomal RNA (465 nucleotides) under uncultured bacterium. Its description in RNAcentral is "bacterial SSU rRNA". It matches the Rfam family "Bacterial small subunit ribosomal RNA", at positions 36 to 518 of the family's 1533-position model. The record is from RNAcentral.